AGAGUUUGAUCCUGGCUCAGGAUGAACGCUAGCGGCAGGCCUAACACAUGCAAGUCGAGGGGCAGCGCAAAGAUAGUUUACUAUUUUGGCGGCGACCGGCGCACGGGUGAGUAACGCGUAUGCAACCUACCUUAUACAGGAGUAUAGCCCUAAGAAAUUGGGCUUAAUCCUCCAUAGUAUUCUUUAAUGGCAUCAUUUGAAGAAUUAAAGCUUCGGCGGUAUAAGAUGGGCAUGCGUCCUAUUAGCUAGAUGGUAAGGUAAUGGCUUACCAUGGCUACGAUAGGUAGGGGGCCUGAGAGGGUGAUCCCCCACACUGGUACUGAGACACGGACCAGACUCCUACGGGAGGCAGCAGUGAGGAAUAUUGGGCAAUGGAGGCAACUCUGACCCAGCCAUGCCGCGUGCAGGAAGAAUGCCCUAUGGGUUGUAAACUGCUUUUAUUUAGGAAUAAACCCCUCUACGUGUAGAGGGCUGAAUGUACUAAACGAAUAAGCACCGGCUAACUCCGUGCCAGCAGCCGCGGUAAUACGGAGGGUGCAAGCGUUAUCCGGAAUCAUUGGGUUUAAAGGGUCCGCAGGCGGAUGUAUAAGUCAGUGGUGAAAUCCUGCAGCUUAACUGCAGAACUGCCAUUGAUACUGUACAUCUUGAAUUCGGUCGAAGUGGGCGGAAUGUGUAGUGUAGCGGUGAAAUGCAUAGAUAUUACACAGAACACCGAUAGCGAAGGCAGCUCACUAGGCCUGGAUUGACGCUCAGGGACGAAAGCGUGGGGAUCAAACAGGAUUAGAUACCCUGGUAGUCCACGCUGUAAACGAUGAUUACUCGUUUUCAGCGAUAUACAGUCGGAGACUAAGCGAAAGUGAUAAGUAAUCCACCUGGGGAGUACGAUCGCAAGGUUGAAACUCAAAGGAAUUGACGGGGGCCCGCACAAGCGGUGGAGCAUGUGGUUUAAUUCGAUGAUACGCGAGGAACCUUACCAGGGCUUAAAUGCAGAGCGAAUAGUUUGGAAACAGACUAGCCUUCGGGCGAUCUGCAAGGUGCUGCAUGGCUGUCGUCAGCUCGUGCCGUGAGGUGUUGGGUUAAGUCCCGCAACAAGCGCAACCCCUAUCUUUAGUUGCCAGCGAGUAAUGUCGGGGACUCUAAAGAAACUGCCUACGCAAGUAGAGAGGAAGGCGGGGACGACGUCAAGUCAUCACGGCCCUUACGUCCUGGGCCACACACGUGCUACAAUGGUCGGUACAGAGGGCAGCUACCGGGUGACCGGAUGCGAAUCUCUAAAGCCGAUCUCAGUUCGGAUUGGAGUCUGCAACUCGACUCUAUGAAGCUGGAAUCGCUAGUAAUCGCGCAUCAGCCAUGGCGCGGUGAAUACGUUCCCGGGCCUUGUACACACCGCCCGU
This 1394-nucleotide ribosomal RNA is filed under the name uncultured Flavobacteriales bacterium. RNAcentral describes it as "bacterial SSU rRNA". It matches the Rfam family "Bacterial small subunit ribosomal RNA". The record is from RNAcentral. Lineage: Bacteria; Pseudomonadati; Bacteroidota; Flavobacteriia; Flavobacteriales.